Prunus persica (peach) is the source of this 735-nucleotide long non-coding RNA. RefSeq lists it as uncharacterized. NCBI's taxonomy places the organism in Eukaryota, Viridiplantae, Streptophyta, Magnoliopsida, Rosales, Rosaceae. The record is from RefSeq and is a predicted model, not a curated record. The transcript has 3 exons.
UUUUGAUUUUGGGUGUAGGGAAUCUUAACUUCAAAGACGAAAAAGCAAGUCACCAAUUUCACCUUCUUAUAGCUCCUAUCUUCUUUGUGCUUUACAGUUUGUUGAUAUUCUAUUUGUUUUUUUUAAUUCUCACUCUUGAAGGGUUUAUUACAUUUGGGCUUAGCUAGCUCUUAUUGUAUGGUGUUUGUUAUAUUGGGUUUUAGUCUUGGGGUUCUCAUAACUAUUUUGACGGGUUGAGGCAUCACCAAGCCAACUAACAGCUCCAUCCACCCUCUCGGGCAUCUGAUAUGGGUAAAAUUUGGUUUUGAUUUCAUUUUUCAUUUUUUUAAGAUUCAUUUCUCUCUCUCUCUCUCUCUCUCUCUCUCUCUCUCUCUCUCUCUCUAUUUUAAUAUACAAGAACUUUUUUUUUUCUUUUCGGAUUCACCCUUCCAUUUGCAACAGUUCAAAAUCAUGCAAGUGCCCUGUUGGAGAUGUGGAAUCUGAUGAAUACACCCACAGUUUGUGAUUCAUUUAAAUUACAGUCAAUGCUAAUAAGCCUUCUUGGAAGAUUGGUUCAUCCUUAAAAAAAAAAAAAACCAUGAAACGUUUACCAAAAGUUAAUAUCAUUCAUGAUUUGGAUCUGAUUGAUGAGGAUAGUCUGUUAACAGAAGAGAACUUAAAGAAACUCCGGCUACUUCUGCUUGAACAUCAUCUCAAAUUGAAAGGCCAUCGAUCAUCAGUUUGUUUAUGAUGCAU